Molecule: ribosomal RNA, 385 nt
Filed under: uncultured bacterium
Lineage: Bacteria
Description: bacterial SSU rRNA
Rfam family: Bacterial small subunit ribosomal RNA
Source: RNAcentral
GACGAACGCUGGCGGCGUGCUUAACACAUGCAAGUCGAACGAUGAACCACUUCGGUGGGGAUUAGUGGCGAACGGGUGAGUAACACGUGGGCAAUCUGCCCUGCACUCUGGGACAAGCCCUGGAAACGGGGUCUAAUACCGGAUAAUACUCCCGCACUCAUGUGUGGGGGUUAAAAGCUCCGGCGGUGCAGGAUGAGCCCGCGGCCUAUCAGCUUGUUGGUGAGGUAAUGGCUCACCAAGGCGACGACGGGUAGCCGGCCUGAGAGGGCGACCGGCCACACUGGGACUGAGACACGGCCCAGACUCCUACGGGAGGCAGCAGUGGGGAAUAUUGCACGAUGGGCGAAAGCCUGAUGCAGCGACGCCGCGUGAGGGAUGACGGCCU